This 507-nucleotide ribosomal RNA is filed under the name uncultured Glomus. RNAcentral's name for it is "SSU rRNA". It matches the Rfam family "Eukaryotic small subunit ribosomal RNA", at positions 569 to 1079 of the family's 1831-position model. Lineage: Eukaryota; Fungi; Glomeromycota; Glomeromycetes; Glomerales; Glomeraceae. The record is from RNAcentral.
AGCAGCCGCGGUAAUUCCAGCUCCAAUAGCGUAUAUUAAAGUUGUUGCAGUUAAAAAGCUCGUAGUUGAAUUUCGGGAUCAAUAUAUCGGUCAUGCUUAGGUAUGUACUGGUAUUAUUGAUUUCUCCCUUCUGAAGGACCAUGAUGUCAUUAAUUUGAUGUCGUGGGGAAUCAGGACUGUUACUUUGAAAAAAUUAGAGUGUUUAAAGCAGGCUUUCGCUUGAAUACAUUAGCAUGGAAUAAUGAAAUAGGACGUUUGAUUCUAUUUUGUUGGUUUCUAGGAUCGACGUAAUGAUUAAUAGGGAUAGUUGGGGGCAUUAGUAUUCAAUUGUCAGAGGUGAAAUUCUUGGAUUUAUUGAAGACUAACUACUGCGAAAGCAUUUGCCAAGGAUGUUUUCAUUAAUCAAGAACGAAAGUUAGGGGAUCGAGACGAUCAGGUACCGUCGUAGUCUUAACCAUAAACUAUGCCGACUAGGGAUCGGAUGAUGCUUAUUUUUUAAUGACUCAU